This 1796-nucleotide ribosomal RNA is filed under the name Durio zibethinus. Its description in RNAcentral is "SSU rRNA". It matches the Rfam family "Eukaryotic small subunit ribosomal RNA". The record is from RNAcentral. Lineage: Eukaryota; Viridiplantae; Streptophyta; Magnoliopsida; Malvales; Malvaceae.
CCUGGUUGAUCUUGCCAGUAGUCAUAUGCUUGUCUCAAAGAUUAAGCCAUGCAUGUGUAAGUAUGAACUAAUUUAGACUGUGAAAUUGUGAAUGGCUCAUUAAAUCAGUUAUAGUUUGUUUGAUGGUAUCUACUACUCGAAUAACCAUAGUAAUUCUAGAGUUAAUACGUGCAACAAACCCUGACUUCUGGAAGGGAUGCAUUUAUUAGAUAAAAGGUCGACGCGGGCUAUGCCCGUUGCUCUGAUGAUUCAUGAUAACUCGACGGAUCACACGGCCUUUGUGCCCGCGACGCAACAUUCAAAUUUCUACCCUAUCAACUUUCGAUGGUAGAAUAGUAGCCUACUAUGGUGGUGACGGGUGAUGGAGAAUUAGGGUUCGAUUCCGAGAGGGAGCCUGAGAAACGGCUACCACAUCCAAGGAAGGUAGCAGGCGUGCAAAUUACCCAAUCCUGACACGGGGACGUAGUGACAAUAGAUAACAAUAUUGAGCUCUCUAAGUCUGGUAAUUGGAAUAAGUUCAAUCUAAAUCCCUUAACAAGGAUCCAUUAGAGGGCAAGUCUGGUGCCAGCAGUCGCGGUAAUUCUAGCUCCAAUAGCGUAUAUUUAAGUUGUUGCAGUUAAAAAGCUUGUACUUGGAACUAGGGUUGGAUCGUCCGAUCCGCCUCACGGUGAGCACCGAUCUACUAGUCCCUACUGCCAGGAUGCGCUCUUUGACUUAAUUGCCCAAGUCGUUCCUCCGGUGCUGUUACUUUGAAGAAAUUAGAGUGCUCAAAGCAGGCCUAUGCUUGUAUACAUUAGCAUGGGAUAACAUCAUAGGAUUUUAGUCCUAUUGUGCUGGCCUUUGGGAUCGGAGUAAUUAUUAACAGGGACAGUCGGGGGCAUUCGUAUUUCAUAGUCAGAGGUGAAAUUGUUAGAUUUAUGAAAGAUGAACAAUUGCGAAAGCAGUUGCCAAGGAUGUUUUCAUUAAUCAAGAACAAAAGUUAGGGGCUCGAAGACGAUCAGAUACUGUCCUAGUCUCAACCAUAAAUGAUGCUGACUAGGGAUCGGUGGAUGUUAGUUUUAGGACUCCGUCGACACCUUAUGAGAAAUCAAAGUCUUUGGGUUCCGGGGGGAGUAUGGUCGCAAGGAGAAAACUUAAAGGAAUUGACGGAAGGGCACCACCAGGAGUGGAGCUUGCGACUUAAUUUGACUCAACACGGGGAAACUUACCAGGUCCAGACAUAGUAAGGAUUGAUAGACUGAGAACUCUUUCUUGAUUCUAUGGGUGGUGGUGCAUGUCCGUUCUUAGUUGGUGGAGCAAUUUGUCUGGUUAAUUCCGUUAACGAAUGAGUCCUCAGCCUGCUAACUAGCUACGUGGAGGUGAUCCUUCGUGGCUAGCUUCUUAGAGGGACUAUGGCCGCUUAGGCCAAGGAAGUUUGAGGUAAUAGCAGGUCUGUGAUGCCCUUAGAUGUUUUGGGCCAUACGCGUGCUACACUGAUGUAUUCAAUGAGUCUAUAGCCUUGGCCGACAGGCCCGGGUAAUCUUUGAAAUUUCAUCAUGAUAGGGAUAGAUCAUUGCAAUUGUUGGUCUUCAACGAGGAAUUCCUAGUAAGCAUGAGUCAUCAACUCACGUUGACUACGUCCCUGCCCUUUGUACACAUUGCCCAUCUCUCCUACCGAUUGAAUGGUCUAGUGAAGUGUUCAGAUCGUGACGACAUGGACAGUCCGUCACCCACGACGUUGCGAGAAGUCCAUUGAACCUUAUCAUUUAGAGGAAAGAGAAGUCGUAACAAGGUUUCCGUAGGUGAACCUGCGGAAG